RNAcentral lists this long non-coding RNA (8504 nucleotides) under Brassica napus (rape). RNAcentral describes it as "long non-coding RNA (BNAP_LNC007984)". Lineage: Eukaryota; Viridiplantae; Streptophyta; Magnoliopsida; Brassicales; Brassicaceae. The record is from RNAcentral.
UGAAACCCGAUGUGAAUGUUUGGGCUCCUCUCACUCGUCAUCAUUGAGGUACGUCUCCGUAUAUGUUAAUUAAUUAGGGUUUUGUAAGGUUUGUGUUAAUAUCUUUUUGUUUAGGGUUCUUUUCCCGUUUUCGUUUAGAAACUGUAGUCAUCUUGCGAUUAGUUUAGAAACCAUCUUAUGCAUACACUCUUUUAAUUCUCUUGUCUCUAAAAUGAUCCGUGUAUCUUCACUACAUGCAUAUACUUUUGUUUUUAAAAUCAUAGAUUUCAGGAAUCCCAAAUGGUUGGUUUGGCUUAAAUAGGAGUGUACAAUCUGUCAAAUUCAUUCUCUCUUGUAUAAAUCUCUUGUUUAGUGUCUGAACAUGGUUUUUGUUUGAACAGAUGAAAUAUUAUCGCUUGGAGGAGGAAACCCACCGGCCUUUUAGUUGCUGCUUUACAUACCUGGAAGCUUACUCCGCAUGAAACCAUCCUUACCAAGGUAAUUUCUCUGUCUAUGAACUAAAAAUGCAACUUUUCUUUUAACAAAAAAAUUAUGUCUUUUGAGGAUGGAAUUCAAACGAGAACAAAGUCAAACCCCAUUAGAUCAGUUCUAAUUAAUCGAUGUUAUAGCAUUCUCAAAUCCAAAUAAGAUCAUUGGCAAGCACUAAUCUUAAUAGUGUUCUGUCAGAUUUUUAUUUGGGUAACAUUGGUCCCGUAAGAAAUCUUUUGGUGGGUAGUGCAUGCAUGUCUAAGGAGGUAUGUUAUGGGGAUGGAAAAUAAGACCCGGAAUCUAUUGGUUGGUAGUGCAUGCUUAAUAGUCUUAAGACAAAGACUAUAUGUGGUGGGGAUGAGAAAAAUAUUGACCCACGGCUUAGAAAAAGUCAUUAGAUGAUGUAACAACGACUAAUGGCUUUUACAUAAGACUCGUUGGAUGUGAAAUAAACGACCAACAUGUCUUAAGACAAAGACUCUGAACCACAAGGCUUAAAGAACUAUGUCUUUGCCUCUAAACCACAAAGGCUUAAAAGUACAAAAAGACUAUGAGUUGGAUGGGUUGGUAGUGCAUGAAUUAAAAGUCUUACACAAAGACUCUAUGGGGAUGAGAAAAAAAAGAGACCCACGGCUUAGUAAAAGACACUAGAUAAACCACAAGGCGUAAAGAACUAUGUCUUUGCCUCUAAACCCACAGUGCUUUAAAGUACAAACACUGAGUUGGAUGGGUUGGUAGUGCAUGACUUAAGUCUUAAGACAAAGACUCUAUGGGGAUGAGGAAAAAAGAGACCCACGGCUUAGAAAAAGUCAUUAGAUGAUGAAACAAUGACUAAUAGCUUAAAUAAGACUCGUUGGAUGGGAAAAAAAUGACCAACAUGUCUUAAGACAAAGACUCUGAACCAUAGGGCUUAAAGAACUAUGUAUUUUCCUCUAAACCCACAUGGCUCGAAAGUAUAAAGUCUAUGAGUUGGAUGCGUUUGUAGUGCAUGACUUAAAAGUCUUAAGACAAAGACUCUAUGAGGAUGAGAAUAAAAAAGACCCACGGCUUAGAAAAAGUCAUUAGAUGAUGAAACAAUGACUAAUGGCUUAAAUAAGACUCGUUGGAUUGGAUAAAACGACCAACAUGUCUUAAAACAAAGAGUCUGAACCACAAGGCUUAAAGAACUAUGUCUUUGCCUCUAAACCCACAAGGCUCGAAAGUAUAAAGACUAUGAGUUGGAUGGGUUGGUAGUGCAUGACUUAAAAGUCUUACACAAAGACUCUAUGGGGAUAAGAAAAAAAAAAGAAACCCACGGCUUAGUAAAAGACAUUAGAUAAACCACAAGUCUUAAAGAACUAUGUCUUUGCCUCUAAACCCACAAGGCUCGAAAGUAUAAAGACUAUGAGUUGGACGGGUUUGUAGUGCAUGACUUAAAAGUCUUACACAAAGACUCUAUGGGGAUAAGAAAAAAAAAGAGACCCACGGCUUAGGAAAAGACAUUAGAUAGACCACAAGGCUUAAAGAACUAUGUCUUUGCCUCUAAACCCACAAGGCUCGAAAGUAUAAAGACUAUGAGUUGGACGGGUUUGUAGUGCAUGACUUAAAAGUCUUACACAAAGACUCUAUGGGGAUAAGAAAAAAAAAGAGACCCACGGCUUAGGAAAAGACAUUAGAUAGACCACAAGGCUUAAAGAACUAUGUCUUUGCCUCUAAACCCACAAGGCUCGAAAGUAUAAAGACUAUGAGUUGGACGGGUUUGUAGUGCAUGACUUAAAAGUCUUAAGAGAGACAAAGACUAUAUGGGUAUGAGGAAAAAAGGGACCCACGGCUUAUAAAAAGACAUUAGAUGAACCACAAGGCUUAAAGAACUAUGUCUUUGCCUCUAAACCACAAGGCUUGAAAGUAUAUAAACUGAGUUGGAUGGGUUUGUAGUAGUGCAUGACUUAAAAGUCUUAAAACAAAAACUCUAUGGGGAUGAGAAAAAAACGACCCACGACUUAGAAAAAGUCAUUAGAUGAUGAAACAAUGACUAAUAGCUUAAAUAAGACUCGUUGGAUGGGAACGAAACUACCAACAUGUCUUAAGACAAAGACUCUGAACCACAAGGCUUAAAGAACUAUGUCUUUGCCUCUAAACCCACAAGGCUCGAAAGUAUAAAGACUAUGAGUUGGAGGGGUUGGUAGUGCAUGACUUAAAAGUCUUACACAAAGACUCUAUGGGGAUAAGAAAAAAAAAGAGACCCACGGCUUAGGAAAAGACAUUAGAUAGACCACAAGGCUUAAAGAACUAUGUCUUUGCCUCUAAACCCACAAUGCUUGAAAGUACAAAGACUGAGUUUGAUGGGUUGGUAGUGCAUGACUUAAGUCUUAAGACAAAGACUCUAUGGGGAUGAGAAAAAAAGAGACCCACACUACAAGAAAAAUGGGUUUUAUUAGCGGACGAAAAACGCUAUAUAACGAUAGUAUAGCGGUUUUUGAAGCGCUGUAUCAUCGCCCGUCAUAGUAGGUAAAGGACUUUACAUAGCGGAAUUUAGCGGUGCUAUCUUUUCGUCCAUUAAGAUAGCGCUUUUUAUUCUGCAAUUAAAUAUAUGUUAAUAGCGAGUCAUUAAUGCUAUUACUUCUUUUGCAAGAACUCCAUACAAAAUGCGAGGCAUUCACCAGCAAGAUAUCCCUCAGCCAUACAAGCUUCAGGUCUUGCGAAAUUCUUCACAUAUGCCUUAAGUGUCUUCAUAUACCUACAAAACAAUAUAAAAAAAUAUUAUUGACAUAAUUACUAUUUUUUACUUGUAAGCCGUAAGUGAAAACAAUAAGAGUAUUACCUCUCGAAUGGGUACAUCCACCUGAAGUGGACAGGGCCACCUAAGCGUGCUUCUCUUGCCAGAUGCAGUGGAAGGUGAAACAUGAUAUCAAAUAAUGCAGGUGGGAAGAAUCUCUCUAGCUGGCACAUUGUCUCCACGAUCUCUGUUUCUAGUGCAAGUAGCAUCUCUGGAUCAAGAAUGCGUUGGCAGAGUCUGUUGAAGAAAUUGCAUAUGCGAGUCACUGCUAUCCGAGGUCCUUUUGGAAGUAAACCUCUCAACGCUACUGGUAAGAGAUUCUGCAUAAGAACAUGAUGAUCAUGUGACUUCAUGCCGCCAAUAGAAGGAGGAUCCAGUGAGACACAGUUAGCUAUAUUGGCACAGUAUCCAUCAGGGCCUCUGAAGUUGGAUAACCUUCGGCAGAACUUUCUUUUCUCUUCCUUUGAAAGCCAAUACGCAGCUGGAGGCAAGUAAGUUUUCUUCCCCCUAGCUUGUGUAUGUAAGUUGCUUCUAAUACCCAUCUCUUCUAAAUCCUUUCUUGCUUUCAGUCCAUCCUUAGAUUUCGCACUAUGCAUCAGUAUAGACAACAACGCAUCAGACACGUUCUUCUCGACGUGCAUGACGUCGAUGUUAUGCCUCACAGGCAUAUCCUGCAAUUUUUCAGAAUAUAACAUUAGCAUCUGCAGAAAUCUAAUACAGUAGUUGUAACUUGUAAAAUAAAACAUACCUUCCAAUAAGGUAAGUCAAAGAAAAUAGAUUUUUUCUUCCACCGCCACAGAUCAUCAUCUUCCUCACGGUCGUCAGCUGAAAGAACAUCAUCUUCACCUCCUUCUAUCCUUUUCCGCUUACUCUUCUUAGGUAAAGGUUUCCCAAAAUCGUUUUUAAAGUCCUUAAGACUGUCAAAUAUAUCGCAGCCACUCUGAAUCCUCUUUGCAGUACCAACCUCCACUGUAUUGUCAAACCAUCCUUUCCUUCUUCUAUAAGGAUGACUAGGCCUGAGCCGCUUCCUGUUCUCCAUGUAAACAUGUUUGCGACUAAACUUUAGCCACCUAUGAGGUGUACCCUUCCCGCAGACAUUACACGCUUGCUUCCCUUUCACUUUACACCCAGCUAAUGUGCCUAAACCAGGAUAGUCGGUGAUACUCCACAUCAACAUAGCUCUAAGUGUAAAACUCUCCUUCUUAAACGAAUCAUAAACUUCCAUACCUUCUGUCCACAAAUCAUGCAAGUCCUCUAUCAAUGGCUGUAGAUAUACAUCAAUGUUGUUGCUAGGUGCGGUUGGACCAGGUAUCAACAUUGUCAACAUGAUGUUCUCGGACCUCAUACACUUUGUCGGAGCCAUAUUGUAGUUGACUAAUAGAACAGGCCAUGUGCUAUGCUUCGUGUUCUGGAUAGAGAACGGAUUCAUGCCAUCUGUUGAAAUUCCUAGUCUUAGGUUUCUUGCUUCAGCAGCGAACUCUGGCCAUUUGUUGUUUAUCUGAGCCCAAGUCAAUGAAUCUACUGGAUGACGCAUAGUUCCAUCUUCAGAAGCAUUAGUGGAGUGCCAACACAAGUCCUCUGCCAACCGCUUUGAUCUAAACAUUCUCCUGAACCUGUCUUUAAUCGGAAAAUACCUAAGCACCUUAACAGGAAUCCCUUUCUUCUCCUCACCAGUCUGCUUAUCCUUCUCCCAUCUUGAUUCACUACAUCUUGGACAGCUGACUGCAUCCUCAAACUCUUUUCUAUACAAAAUGCAGUCAUUCUUGCAUACGUGGAUGACAUCAUACCCAAAACCAAACUGUUUCAGAAAUUUCUUCAUCUCAUCUGUAGACUUAGGUAGAACGUUUUCACCGGGAAGCAGAUCAUGAACUAGGGACAGAAGCUGAUCGAAAAAUAGUUCUCAGACAUCCCACUCUUCACCUUUAUCCUGUAAAGUCCCAUGAUUGCAGCAACCUUUGUAAAUUUCAGACAGUUUGGGUACAACGGAGUUUCUGCAUCCUCUAACUUCUUUCUAAACUCAACUUCUUCAGGCGUAUCAGUGCCCUCAAACACUCCAGCAUUCUCCUCUGCGUAUCCUUCGCUGCCUUGACUUCGCAUGAAGGUUGUUCUGAACAAGUCGUAAGCCUCAUUUUCAGACCAGAUCACAUUAGCUGACUCAUCAGGUCUUGUCUCCCCGUGUUUAGACCAAAACUUACAGCUCUUGUACUUCUCAUCCAUUCCUCUAAUCACCAGGUGCUCGAAAACUUUCUCACUAGAUUGGUGGCAGACAUUGCGACAAUCAACACAAGGGCAGAACAUUUCAUCUGGAUCACCUAAACGUUUUGAUGAAGAAGACACGAACUCACUAGCUCCUUUCUCAUACUCAAGGCUAUUCCUGUAUGGUUAAAACAAGUGAGAACUAAACACUGAGACUUAAAAAAAUUUAAAAGAACAAGUGAAGUUAAUACCUUGGUAACCAGACCCAAGAUUUAUCCAUGAUACAGCUCCGACGAAAUGAACAUACAAGAGUCUCACUUUAUCAAGCCAGAACAACAAAACAAUAAGGGAUUUAAAAGCAAAACAGAAUGAGAUUUCUCACCUUAAAAAAAUCUCUUCGGAUUUAAAUUAGAGUCUCCUACAAAAGAAGACAAUGUUGUUAAGUAAGAUACAAGAUUUUACAGAAAUGAACAAGUAAAAGAGAAACCCAGAAAUUGAAAAGAACAAAUACCUUAAGCCAAAGCUGUCGGAAAAUAAAGGUUCCUGCAAACGAGCAUGCAAAACCGAUUCAAUUAAACAUGCAAUAACCCUAAAUCAGUUAUAGAGAAGAGAUAAAUCGAUUUUCAAUCGAUUAGGAUAGAAAAGAGAUGAAACCCGAGUUCACCUUCGAUGGAAUCGGAAAGGAUUUCAAUCAAAGGGGAUUUAAAUAAGAGUUAAUCCACGUUGAGUAAUCGUUGGAGCUGAGGAAUUGAGAAUGAAAAUUCGAGUGAAAGAGAUUGAGGUCGAGUGUUUGAUGGAGAGUGAAGAACAAAGAGAGAGAGGGAAGAACAAAACCCUACUAGUUUGGGAUUAAUUUUGGAUUCUAAUUGGGUUUUAGGAGCCAAAUUAUUUCUAAGUGUCGCGGUCAUUACCGCGUAAUCAAGCAUAACCCUUUUUUUUUUUAAUCUGCUAUAUUAAUUAAGCGUCUUCUUUCAAACCAUAUACGCUUAAAUGAUUUUUCAACUCGAAACUGUAACAUAACGUUUGGAAAUAUACAACCGCUAUCUUUAAAACACGAGUAUACCUACCAUAGCACAAUCGAAAAAAACGCUAUUCUGGUAUGCUAUUAAAACCCAUUUUUCUUGUAGUGCCACGGCUUAGGAAAAGACAUUAGAUGAACCACAAGGCUUAAAGAACUAUGUCUUUCCCUCUAAACCCACAAGGCUUGAAAGUAUAAAGACUGAGUUGGAUAGGUCUGUAGUGCAUGACUUAAAAUUUUUAAGACAAAGACUCUAUGGGGAUGAGGAAAAAAAAGACCCACGGCUUAGUAAAAGUCAUUAGAUGAUAAAACAAUGACUAAUAGCUUAAAUAAGACUUGUUGGAUGGGAAAGAAACUACCAACAUGUCUUAAGACAAAGACUCUGAACCACAAGGCUUAAAGAACUAUGUCUUUGCCUCUAAACCCACAAGGCUCGAAAGUAUAAAGACUGAGUUGGAUGGGUUUGUAGUGCAUGACUUAAAAGUCUUAAGACAAAGACUCUAUGAAGAUGAGGAAAAAAACACCCACGGCUUAGAAAAAGUCAUUAGAUGAUGUAACAACGACUAAUGGCUUACAUAAGACUCGUUGGAUUGGAAAAAACGACCAACAUGUCUUAAGACAAAGAGUCUGAACCACAAGGCUUUAAGAACUAUGUCGUUGCCUCUCAAACACAAAGGUUUAAAAGUACAAAAUUUACAAAAAGACUAUGAGUUAGAUGGGUUGGUUUAUGAUUUGUUGGAUGGAAAGAAAAAUGACCAACAGCAGAAAUAAGCUUAAGACAAAGUCUGAAAUAAAAGUCUUUUACACAAAGACAAUGGUUUGGUUUACGUUUUGUUGGAUGGGAAAAAGAAACGACCAACAACUUAAGACAGAUUAUGAAAAGUUCUUAAGACAAAGACCAUGUCUGAAAUCAGUCUUAAGACAUAGGCUAAUAAUAUAUGAAAACAACUCACGGAUUUGGAAAGCCACACAGCGACAAAGACUACCAAUGGCUUAAAGUUGUCUUAAGACAAAGAUACUUAACAAGGAUCAAGAGAUUCUUAAAUAAGGCUUGUUGGAUGGGGAAAAAAGCAGCCAGCGGCUUAACGAUGUCUUAAGACAGGCUUCGAAAAGUCCUUAGAUGGAUAAUAAUUACUAAUGACUUAAAUUAGACUUUUGUUGGAUCGGACAAAAAAUGACCAACAGCCUAAAAGAAGCCGUGAUACGAAAAGGUUCUGAACUGAGAAUUAUCUCCGCGAUAACCACAAAGAUGUCUUAAGAUAAAUACUCUGAACUUUGAACUGAGAACCAUGAUUCUGAUUUUUUGUUUUUCAGGUAUCUGCUUCAGAAGGUGUUCAAAACCAAAUUGUUCAAGAUUUUGAGGAGAUUUCAAGUGUAGCAGACUUUUGUGGCAGGUAUGUGCUUUUCCAACUGGCUUGUAAUUAGUUUCUGAAAUUCAAACAUGUGUGAAAUCAAAAUUAAUUUCAUUUCCACUAGACACGUGCUUGAAUAAGCAUCCAAAUCUUAACAUAUUUAUGUGUUAGCCUUUAUACUUAUGUGAGAGCGUGAAGUAUAUAUGCCAAUAUUGAUUUUCUCAGGUAUGUGCUUCUCUUAUGGAUGCCCAAAGAAGAUUUUUCUAAUGUUUACAAUUCUUUGGUGAAGUAUGGAUUUAUCACCCUCUUUAUAUUGUAUAACUUUGGAUUUGAAUCAAUGUUUCAGAUAACCACAUCUCUGUUUCAUGAAGAAAACACUUGUCACUUGAAAUUCUGCAGGUUGGUGGUUUCCUUUCAUGUCUCUGUUAGUCUGUUUUGAUUCUCCAAGUUCCAAGUCUGAUUUUGGUGUUGGCUUACUCAUUUAUUUUUAUCUUGUAGGUCUAUUUUCUUCUGCAUCAACCGAUUUCAAAUCCUAAUGUGGUGUGUAUCUCAAACCUCCAUACAUGGGUUCUGCACAAUCACUUAAAAAUUACAAAACAUACAUACAUAGGUACAAACAUGCAUUCAUAUAUACGUACUUUCAUACUGUAUACAUGCAUAAUUGCUUACAUACAUCAUUGUUUAUUUGCUUUCUUGAUUUUUUGUUUGAUUCUUC